This 605-nucleotide ribosomal RNA is filed under the name uncultured soil bacterium. RNAcentral's name for it is "bacterial SSU rRNA". It matches the Rfam family "Bacterial small subunit ribosomal RNA", at positions 44 to 651 of the family's 1533-position model. The record is from RNAcentral.
GUGGAUUAGGCAUGCAAGUCGAACGAAUCCCACUGUUGUAGCAAUACAGUGGUGGGGGAAGUGGCGAAAGGGGCAGUAAUGCGUGGGUAACCUACCCUGGGGACGUGGAUAGCCAUUCUAACGAGUGGGUAAUACGCGGCGAUUUGAUUGAGGGGCAUCCCUUGGUCAGGAAAUGAAUUUCGCCUCGGGAGGGGCUCACGUGAUAUUAGCUAGUUGGUAGGGUAACGGCCUACCAAGGCAAAGAUGUCUAGCGGGUGUGAGAGCACGACCCGCGCCACUGGCACUGAGACACUGGCCAGACACCUACGGGUGGCUGCAGUCGAGGAUCUUUGGCAAUGAGCGCAAGCUUGACCAAGCGACGCCGCGUGUGCGAUGAAGGCCUUCGGGUUGUAAAGCACUGUCGAGGGGGACGAAGCCGAAAGGUUGACCGAUCCCUGGAGGAAGCACGGGCUAAGUUCGUGCCAGCAGCCGCGGUAAGACGAACCGUGCGAACGUUGUUCGGAAUCACUGGGCUUAAAGGGCGCGUAGGCGGCUUGCCAAGUCAGUGGUGAAAUCCCGCAGCUUAACUGCGGAAGUGCCUUUGAUACUGGCGAGCUCGAGGGAGG